UACGGAGGGUGCGAGCGUUGUCCGGAAUCAUUGGGCGUAAAGGGCGCGUAGGUGGCGCGACAAGCGUGCGGUGAAAGCUCGGGGCUCAACCCCGAGUCGGCCGUGCGAACUGUUGUGCUUGAGGGCAGUAGAGGGUGGUGGAAUUCCGGGUGUAGUGGUGAAAUGCGUAGAUAUCUGGAGGAACACCGGUGGCGAAGGCGGCAUCCUGGACCACGACUGACACUGAAAAGCGAAAGCCAGGGGAGCAAACGGG
RNAcentral lists this ribosomal RNA (253 nucleotides) under uncultured bacterium. RNAcentral's name for it is "partial 16S ribosomal RNA". It matches the Rfam family "Bacterial small subunit ribosomal RNA", at positions 524 to 776 of the family's 1533-position model. The record is from RNAcentral.